RNAcentral lists this ribosomal RNA (428 nucleotides) under uncultured Archangiaceae bacterium. RNAcentral's name for it is "bacterial SSU rRNA". It matches the Rfam family "Bacterial small subunit ribosomal RNA", at positions 355 to 776 of the family's 1533-position model. The record is from RNAcentral. Lineage: Bacteria; Pseudomonadati; Myxococcota; Myxococcia; Myxococcales; Archangiaceae.
UGGGGAAUUUUCCACAAUGGGCGAAAGCCUGAUGGAGCAACGCCGCGUGUGUGAUGAAGGUCUUCGGAUUGUAAAGCACUUUCGACCGGGACGAAAAUCCAUUGGCUAACAUCCAGUGGCCUGACGGUACCGGGAGAAGAAGCACCGGCUAACUCUGUGCCAGCAGCCGCGGUAAUACAGAGGGUGCAAGCGUUGUUCGGAAUUAUUGGGCGUAAAGCGCGUGUAGGCGGCUUGGCAAGUCAGAUGUGAAAGCCCUCGGCUCAACCGAGGAAGUGCGUCUGAAACUGCCGAGCUUGAGUGCCGGAGAGGGUGGCAGAAUUCCGCAAGUAGAGGUGAAAUUCGUAGAUAUGCGGAGGAACACCGGUGGCGAAGGCGGCCACCUGGACGGCGACUGACGCUGAGACGCGAAAGCGUGGGGAGCAAACAGG